UACGAAGGGGGCUAGCGGUGCUCGGAAUUACUGGGCGUAAAGCGCACGUAGGCGGUCUUUUAAGUCGGGGGUGAAAUCCUGGAGCUCAACUCCAGAACUGCCUUCGAUACUGGAAGACUUGAGUCCGGGAGAGGUGAGUGGAACUGCGAGUGUAGAGGUGAAAUUCGUAGAUAUUCGCAAGAACACCAGUGGCGAAGGCGGCUCACUGGCCCGGUACUGACGCUGAGGUGCGAAAGCGUGGGGAGCAAACAGG
RNAcentral lists this ribosomal RNA (253 nucleotides) under uncultured bacterium. RNAcentral's name for it is "partial 16S ribosomal RNA". It matches the Rfam family "Bacterial small subunit ribosomal RNA", at positions 524 to 776 of the family's 1533-position model. The record is from RNAcentral.